UACAGAGGGUGCAAGCGCUAAUCGGAAUUACUGGGCGUAAAGCGUGUGUAGGUGGUUAGAUAAGUUAGAUGUGAAAUCCCCGGGCUUAACCUGGGCACUGCGUUUAAGACUGUUUAACUAGAGUACUGUAGAGGAUAGUGGAAUUUCCAGUGUAGCGGUGAAAUGCGUAGAUAUUGGAAGGAACACCAGUGGCGAAGGCGACUAUCUGGACAGAUACUGACACUGAGACACGAAAGCGUGGGGAGCAAACAGG
RNAcentral lists this ribosomal RNA (253 nucleotides) under uncultured bacterium. Its description in RNAcentral is "partial 16S ribosomal RNA". It matches the Rfam family "Bacterial small subunit ribosomal RNA", at positions 524 to 776 of the family's 1533-position model. The record is from RNAcentral.